Long non-coding RNA from Pezoporus flaviventris, 3323 nucleotides. RefSeq lists it as uncharacterized. The transcript is spliced from 3 exons. The record is from RefSeq and is a predicted model, not a curated record. Lineage: Eukaryota; Metazoa; Chordata; Aves; Psittaciformes; Psittacidae.
CUGUUGCGGAAGGUGAUGGAUUUAUAAGGUGAAAGCUGUUGGGAGUGAUGAAAGGCUGUGCUUGUAGCUUAGAGAUAAACACGUGGAAGGAAAAUAUGCAAGUAUGCAGAUGGAGUGGAUGUUUGGACUAAUCCAGGUUCUGUGGGUUUUGCUUGUGAUGGAAUUUGGGGUUAGCAGUCCUGACACCAUUAAAUCCCUUUUUAUCUCUUCCUCUCUUUGUUAUAAUUUGCAUUGAAUUUGCAGCACCAUACUGUCAAAGUGUGGGGCCAAAUUCAGCUGCUGCCGGAGGCACAAAGGAGAUCUUUAAGCCACCAAACACUUGAAUCGUGGUCAUCCUCAUCUCAGGACAAGCAUUUCUCACCUCGGAGGUGAUGCUAUAGAGACAUUUGGCAACACUGCAAAGUCUACCGUCCUGUCCUUGCGCUUCUAAAAUAUCACUGGUCCACACCCAAACAGAGGAGCCAGUUGCAAAGAAGGCUGCCAGCGUAACUGUCACCACAUAGCUACAUAGCUAUAGCCUUUUGUGCCACUGCUUCGAGGAGAAGGGGAUUUUGAGCUUCCCGUAAGCCUUUCUUAAGGUACUGCUCAACUGCAAGGAAAGAAAAGUGCUCCCUCGUGCUGAUAGUUAACACUGGAGAUGGUGUGUUAAUCCUGAGAAAUCAAUGUUCCUGAUUUAGCUGGGCAUUGCUUUACAUGCCCAAGCACCCUUAUGUGUAUCCUCACUGAAGGUGCUGGGUACAGCUCUUUAUCCCACUCCUGUGUGCCUGCAGGGUGUUGCUCAGUUUAUAGCAGUGUAACUGUAUCAUUUCAGGUUGUGUCUCAGGCAGAGAGCUGUAUUCAUGGGAUGCUGUACCUGGUUUGGAGGUUGGAGUAAGCAGAACCAGCACUGGGGCUUGGGAGGGGUUGCACGAGGCCUUCCCUGGGAUUCAGCACUACUUGUGUGGAGUGCUGCUGACUUUAGAUACUACCCUUUCAUGAGUUCACUGAGCAGAAAAGUCAUUUCAAGUUCCAAAGAAGCAAGAAAUAACUCAGCUGUGAGCAAUAUUUAAGCACGUGGCCAUGGCUGCGCUGUCAAAGCCAGCUCUUAAACUGCUUCAGAGAGUUUCUUCAUCAGAAGAGUUCAGCUGGUACUUCGACAAGUGGGGCUCAGCCCCCAUGAUGAGGUAUGGGGCUGAGCAGUGCACGAUGAAGUGCGAUGGGGUUUGGGGGGAACUGGUGUGUACCGAGUCCAGGUUAUUGCUUUUAGCCUCCCUGCUCCAUAACGGAGUGUAGUGAAGAGCAUCUGAGCCAGAAUCUGCCCUGAUUUGCAGUAGGAUAAUGCUGCGGAUUUAAAGGGAGCUAUCUGGGAUUUACAGGGCUUUCUAUAAGUAGGAUCAGGAAUUGUAGCCAUAAUCCUGUGCAAAUGUAUGGGUGUGAGUGCAGACGUGCGCAUCAGCAUCACUAAUGCAAACAAACACAGCCAUAACAGCAACAGAACACAUAAUAACAGUGAGUUGCAUUACAGGGUUAUCAUAUGGUUCAAGCCAGGCUCAUAAAUAUCCUGUGAUGGAUAAUCCAGCUGUAACCCUAUAGCGUGUGCCUGACUCUUCUGACACCUACUGUCAUGAGACAAAUCUGUCUCCUUCCAUUUUGGUAGUUGCUGCUUGAAAACAAUCCACAUCUUUUUCAUGUAAUUCUUGAUCUGUUUGGUUUCCUGGGUUUAUGUGGAAUACUUGCAAGGUCUAAGCUAAAGCUCUAGCCUGGAAAUGUUACAGCUUCAUAGUACCAAAGAGAUAGCAAUGUCCAGUGAUGCUGUGAGUCCAGGGAUACCACCCAAUCCUAUGGCUAAAAUAGUGAGUUGGGUGCUCUUCAGCACUGUCUUUAACCUGCCAGAACAGGGGAGACUGAGAUGAGCUCUUAGGCAGAAGCUCUUCCUGUGAGGGUGCUGAGGCGCUGGCACAGGGUGCCCAGAGAAGCUGUGGCUGCCCCAUCCCUGGCAGUGUUCAAGGCCAGGUUGGACACAGGGGCUUGGAGCACCCUGCUCUAGUGGAAGGUGUCCCUGCCCGUGGUAGGGGAUUGGAACUGGAUGAGCUUUAAGGUCACUUUAAGCCAACCCAGUCUGGGAUGCUAUGAAAGUGCUGGGAAACCAACCAGACCCUCUGCACAUGCCGGUGGGCCUGGUGCCAGUGUGAAGUAUGAAAUCAGUGCAACUCAACAGGGCCAGUUCAGCAGAGGGCCUGGGCUGCUGCGCGUUGUAGCCUUCUUGACAUCACCUGGUUCUAAGCCAGCUCUGAUGAUGGAUGUUUUUGCCUCUAGGUUUUGUUGGGGGGAACACCAAGCCCUCGUCAUGUUUGCUGUCUGUACAGUGCUAUUUCCAGACUAAAGAAAAAGAGUUAGAUUACAUUUUAGCAGAACAAUACUGACAACAGCAAAGGUCGGGCAACUUUUAAGUAAGGUCACCCUAUCGAUUGCAGCAGUGAAAGGACAGACAUCAAAUGCUUUGCCAUGAAAGGCUGAAAAGAAGUAAAUUCGGCAUGAUAUAUUGAAACCCAAGCCUCUUUCAUAUGUUGCAGAGCCUCUGACAUAGCAGGUUUACUGUUCAAGCUGAGAUGGGUUGCCUUGCCAACAUACAUUCUGAGUUACCCAAGCAGAUUUAAUGUUUUUGCAGCAGUGACUUUUCCCUUAUUUUUUGGGAAGGAAUGGACACUUUUCCUUUUCUUUGCAUAAAAUUGUUGCAGAAGGUUUCAAACCUACCGAGGAAAUGACCUUAAUCCAUUUAGUUCCAGCCAUGAGUAUGAAAACUCUCAUCUGUUUCUUGCUUUCUCUGAGCAUUGUCUCGCUCGCAUUGAGCAGAGUGACCCAGUCACAGCUUGAUGGAAAAGUGCAUUCUGUUUGGUGUUGGUUUGUUGUGGUUUAUUUAACCCACUCCAGUGGCAGCUAUGUUUUGUGCAGGGGGGUUGAUGUGACUGACAGGGGUUUGAGUUUCUAAGCUCCAGGGUCUCAAAAAUGCAUGAAAAGAGAAUGACACAUGCAGAAAAACAUUAAUCUUUGGAAAACAAGCACCAAAACGUAACAAUUCUGUAGAAGCCUGACAGAGCUGCAUUCAUUCCCUCCUCCCCCUCCUCCUUCUUCCUCUUUUUAAUAAGUCAGUGUUUCUGGGCCACCUACAGGCACAUUUAUGGCUUCGGCAGCAGGGAAUCAGGAUGCACAAUAAGCCAAAGUCACAGUCAUCGUGCAUUAGGGUGGGUCUAUCUGCGUCUCAUAGAAUCAUGGAAUGUUUUGUGUUGAAGGGACCUUAAAGCUCAUCCUUUUCCAAGCCCCUUAUCCUGUUGCUACAGGCCCUG